Molecule: long non-coding RNA, 307 nt
Filed under: Malus domestica (apple)
Lineage: Eukaryota; Viridiplantae; Streptophyta; Magnoliopsida; Rosales; Rosaceae
Description: long non-coding RNA (MDOM_LNC001737)
Source: RNAcentral
ACAGUCAUGCAAUUACAAACCGAAUCCUCAUCAUUGUGUUGGAAGGUACCCUAAGGCACAAAUAAGCACACAAAAACAACUCUUUUUGGGAUUUUCAAAAACAAUUUUUCAAUUUUUUAUGAAUUUUCGGAUUUUUAUGUCAAAACACACUGAAACACUCCAAAACAGCUUAAAAAUACUUAAAACAACAAGGAACAACACUAGAAGUAAUGGGUGAUAAAUUUCUACGAAUUUCAUGCAAAACAAUAACAAUGGUUACCCCCCCACACUUAAAUCAAACAUUGUCCUCAAUGUUUCAAGCAUAUAC